GAUGAACGCUGGCGGCGUGCUUAACACAUGCAAGUCGAACGGUGAAACCAAGCUUGCUUGGUGGAUCAGUGGCGAACGGGUGAGUAACACGUGAGCAACCUGCCCUGGACUCUGGGAUAAGCGCUGGAAACGGCGUCUAAUACUGGAUAUGAGCCUCUUCCGCAUGGUGGGGGUUGGAAAGAUUUUUUGGUCUGGGAUGGGCUCGCGGCCUAUCAGCUUGUUGGUGAGGUAAUGGCUCACCAAGGCGUCGACGGGUAGCCGGCCUGAGAGGGUGACCGGCCACACUGGGACUGAGACACGGCCCAGACUCCUACGGGAGGCAGCAGUGGGGAAUAUUGCACAAUGGGCGAAAGCCUGAUGCAGCAACGCCGCGUGAGGGAUGACGGCCUUCGGGUUGUAAACCUCUUUUAGCAGGGAAGAAGCGAAAGUGACGGUACCUGCAGAAAAAGCGCCGGCUAACUACGUG
This 466-nucleotide ribosomal RNA is filed under the name uncultured bacterium. RNAcentral describes it as "partial 16S ribosomal RNA". It matches the Rfam family "Bacterial small subunit ribosomal RNA", at positions 28 to 507 of the family's 1533-position model. The record is from RNAcentral.